GCAAUAUUUCAAUGUGCCAAAUAAAAAGUAAAACUCAUAUAUAUUUUUCAAAGUGAGGUCCAAUAAAUGGGUCACACAUCUUAUUUGAAAAGCUUGCGUUUAAUUUUCAAGUUUUUGCAAUGCUUUUAUUUCCUUAGUUAUAUGUAAUCAACAAAUAAGCUUUUUUUUGCUUUUAAAGAUGUGGAGAUGGCUGGCUGACAUCAUAGGAUACUCAGAAAUGAACUUGGGGUUAAGACAACAACAUAUUGACAUAAUCAUGAUGUCUGGAGGUGUCGCCAUUUGGAAACCAUAUUUCAACAUGCCUGGAGUCAAAGAAGCAACCAGCUGCAGACAAUGGAGUAGAAGCACGUCCUUGGUAAAAUGAUGGAGCUGUACCAACUCUGGACUGCUAACCUCUGGACUUCCUUGUAUUUAAGGAACAGGCUGACCAGAGGUAGGAAACACACCUAAAAGGUAUCCAUCAUGACUAGCAGACGAAUGGAACAAUUGGAACAAUGUGAUGCCCGGAGCCCAUCGCUCCUGGAGACCAACAUCCCUGGAUCCUCUCCUUACUGCCCAUUUUCCCUAUGUAACUGCCUCAAGAUUCUGCAAUUCUUGAAGAUGGUUUUUGUUUUGAGACAAGACUCUACCAUCUUCCCUAUUAUGCUGGUUAACUGAAUUAAAACU
Molecule: long non-coding RNA, 666 nt
Filed under: Equus caballus (horse)
Lineage: Eukaryota; Metazoa; Chordata; Mammalia; Perissodactyla; Equidae
Description: lncRNA (ENSECAG00000028429.3)
Source: RNAcentral